RNAcentral lists this ribosomal RNA (521 nucleotides) under uncultured bacterium. Its description in RNAcentral is "partial 16S ribosomal RNA". It matches the Rfam family "Bacterial small subunit ribosomal RNA", at positions 29 to 523 of the family's 1533-position model. The record is from RNAcentral.
AAUGAACGCUGGCGGCGUGCUUAACACAUGCAAGUCGUACGAGAAACCCCGGCUUGCCGGGGGAGUAAAGUGGCGCGCGGGUGAGUAACGCGUGGGUGAUCUACCCUCGAAUUGGGGAUAACACACCAAAAGGUGUGCUAAUACCGAAUAAGACCACGACCUCCACGGGGGUUGCGGUCAAAGAUGGCCUCUGCUUGCAAGCUGUCGUUUGAGGAUGAGCCCGCGUACCAUUAGCUUGUUGGUGGGGUAAUGGCCUACCAAGGCAACGAUGGUUAGCUGGUCUGAGAGGAUGGCCAGCCACACUGGAACUGGAACACGGUCCAGACUCCUACGGGAGGCAGCAGUGAGGAAUUUUGCGCAAUGGGGGAAACCCUGACGCAGCAACGCCGCGUGAGUGAAGAAGGCCUUCGGGUUGUAAAGCUCUGUCAAGUGGGAAGAACCUUUUUCGGCCGAAUACGCCGAGAAACUGACGGUACCGCUGAAGGAAGCACCGGCUAACUCCGUGCCAGCAGCCGCCGCAG